RNAcentral lists this ribosomal RNA (484 nucleotides) under uncultured bacterium. RNAcentral's name for it is "partial 16S ribosomal RNA". It matches the Rfam family "Bacterial small subunit ribosomal RNA", at positions 30 to 507 of the family's 1533-position model. The record is from RNAcentral.
AUUGAACGCUGGCGGCAGGCCUAACACAUGCAAGUCGAGCGGAUGAAGGGAGCUUGCUCCUGGAUUCAGCGGCGGACGGGUGAGUAAUGCCUAGGAAUCUGCCUGGUAGUGGGGGAUUACGUCCGGAAACGGGCGCUAAUACCGCAUACGUCCUGAGGGAGAAAGUGGGGGAUCUUCGGACCUCACGCUAUCAGAUGAGCCUAGGUCGGAUUAGCUAGUUGGUGGGGUAAAGGCCUACCAAGGCGACGAUCCGUAACUGGACUGAGAGGAUGAUCAGUCACACUAGAACUGAGACACGGUCCAGACGCCUACGGGAGGCAGCAGUGGGGAAUAUUGGACAAUGGGCGAAAGCCUGAUCCAGCCAUGCCGCGUGUGUGAAGAAGGUCCUCGGAGUGUAAAGCACUUUAAGUUGGGAGGAAGGGCAGUAAGUUAAUACCUUGCUGUUUUGACGUUACCAACAGAAUAAGCACCGGCUAACUUCGUG